RNAcentral lists this non-coding RNA (118 nucleotides) under Frankia canadensis. RNAcentral describes it as "SAM riboswitch aptamer (S box leader)". It matches the Rfam family "SAM riboswitch aptamer (S box leader)". From Rfam's summary of the family: The SAM riboswitch is found upstream of a number of genes which code for proteins involved in methionine or cysteine biosynthesis in Gram-positive bacteria. The SAM riboswitch acts at the level of transcription termination control. Lineage: Bacteria; Bacillati; Actinomycetota; Actinomycetes; Frankiales; Frankiaceae. The record is from Rfam by way of RNAcentral.
GGCUCAUCCAGAGGGGCAGAGGGAACGGCCCAGCGAAGCCCCGGCAACCACCCGCAUCCGAUGCGCGGCAGGUGCUAAUUCCGACCCGCGGCAGACCGCCACGCGGGAAAGAUGAGGA